This 253-nucleotide ribosomal RNA is filed under the name uncultured prokaryote. RNAcentral describes it as "partial 16S ribosomal RNA". It matches the Rfam family "Bacterial small subunit ribosomal RNA", at positions 524 to 776 of the family's 1533-position model. The record is from RNAcentral.
UACGUAGGGGGCAAGCGUUGUCCGGAUUUAUUGGGCGUAAAGAGCGUGUAGGCGGUCAGGUAGGUCCGUUGUGAAAACUCGAGGCUCAACCUCGAGACGCCGAUGGAAACCAUCUGACUAGAGUCCGGAAGAGGAGAGUGGAAUUCCUGGUGUAGCGGUGAAAUGCGCAGAUAUCAGGAGGAACACCGGUGGCGAAGGCGGGUCUCUGGGCCGAUACUGACACUGAGAAGCGAAAGCGUGGGGAGCGAACAGG